GGGCAUGCUCCUGACGUCGUCCAUGGCGACGCGCACCGUUCGGAGGGGGUCGUCGCGGGGGAAGUUGCCGUCGUAGAUCACUUCGACGUAGCCGUCGUUAUAUGCUGCUGCGUCGGAGACGACGCGGGCGCCGAGCCAGAGCACGAGGCAGUGCCCCGUCGGCAGGAUCCCGGCGCGCGUGCGCACCUUCACCGACAUCCCCUUCUUCGCCCAGAUCGACGAAGAACGCGGCCGGGUCGCUGUGGUUGGCAUGGUCUUGAUGUACUCUGCUCCGGUGGUGGUGUCAGCUCCGCUUGAAGCCGGCGGGAUCGACGCGGAUCGGCGCGGCGGGGCGGUGCACCUCGU
RNAcentral lists this long non-coding RNA (345 nucleotides) under Hordeum vulgare. Its description in RNAcentral is "long non-coding RNA (HVUL_LNC014219)". Lineage: Eukaryota; Viridiplantae; Streptophyta; Magnoliopsida; Poales; Poaceae. The record is from RNAcentral.